CUAAUUACAUUUUUAAAGAACUUAUACGUCAAAACACAACAGGGGAAUCGGGCUCACGUGAAACCAAGAAUACUCAAGUGAAUGUCAAAGAGACAUUGGGCACAACUGGGCCAAUGCCAAAGCCCUAGAUGCGAGGUUCAGUACAGUCAAAAUGAGCGAAAUUACAAUUCUCCAUGAAAACUUGAGAUAAAAAAUGAUUACUGCCAAACCUUGGCAAAUUUAGACAAAUGCAAAGCAUAUUCUUGAUGCCUAGUCAAAUUCUAUAAUAAAAUGCAUUUCUUAAUGUCACAAUAACUCAUACACAAUUAUCUCAUCAUUUAAAAUCUACUAGAAUUCAUGGCUUCAAACCAAACACUAUCAUAGUUCCAAAUAAAGAAUACAUUUAUUAGUAUAAGCUCGACUCUAUCCAAUUCCAAACAUUUGACCCACUCCAAAUAACCUUAAACAAGUAGUUACUUGCCAAAUUCAUAUAUUCUACUACCCAUAAUAAUAUUUGACUUCUGAUAUAACCAAUUUGGGACAAUGUUUACGCAGUAACAUGAAAUCCUUCCCAAAAUACACACAACAUGGGCCUGGAACUCAUCCUUUAGAAUAACAAACCAAACCUCAAAACCAUUACAAAUGUUCAAAUUCUCAUUUCAAUGAAUAAUAAACAAUGAGCUGAUUGUACUAUGACUUUAAACAAGACUGUUAUGCCAACUUGCUACUCUAAGCAUGAUUUUUGAACAUAUACCACAGAACAAAUCCAUUCACAACAAGAACACAUCACAACAAACUUAAAACAUGAUAAAAAAUGGACAAGGAAAAAUGGAAUCAAAACUGAAUGGCCUAAGAGAGUUGUGAAAAUUAAGAUCCAAAAAAAAAAACAUGGUUCUUAUUGACUACAACAGAAAACACAUCUUCCAUGCAACAACAUAUUCAAACUUCAUUUGCCACUCAUGGUUCAAAAGAGUACCUGAAAAUUAAAAGAGAAAAUAGGGAGAAUGACGAGUUAGCCACAACAACAGCAGAAUCAGAUCAGCAAAACAACAAUACUUAGUCUCUUUAAACCACUUUUUGAAGCCAGAAUGACCAGAAAUUCUUGAGGAAGUUUUAAACUCUAAAGAUGACAAAAGAACUCAGUCAAUUUCUACUAAAGAUGCAAGAAAUUUUAUGUGUUUUUUAGCUCAGCCAUUUCUAAUUUUCAGUUUUUUUCUCUUUAAAUUUUCUCACUUGAAAGAGAAGGAAACAUGCCUCUUAUAGAGGACUUCUAGGGCAGCAGAAAUGGUUCAAGUUAUUUGCCAAUUACCCUUUUUCAAUUUUUAUUCUUGCAAGCUAGUCCCCAAUUUUAAAUUCUGUUUGUUAAAACUAACCCCAACCCCACCUUCCUAGCAGCUUCCUAUUCAGGUAUACAAAAUUUUUUUGUCUAAACUCCCCAAACUACCCUUUAAGACCCUAUUAUUUACCCUUCCUAGCUUGAGCCAAAGCAGGCUGCCUGAAUCCCAAACCUGGGCCUCAACAAAUGGGUUUCUAAUUCUCCAAGUCUGGACUAAACCAAGAGUAGGCUUCCAAAUUAAAAGAGCAAUGAACCAAUUAAACAACAAACCCAAAAAAGAUUCGAAUUCACAGCAGAUAAAGAAUUUGACCACUUAGAACCCAAAAUAACGAAACUAGCAAUGCUGAUUGACUAGGAUUGGCUAGAAGAAAAAGAGGAGAGAGGGAACAAACUUCCAAUUUGAUUAGUAGAAACAAACAAAAGGAAAGGAAAAGAAGUUAGCCUACUCAAUAUGAAUAAUAGGUAAUCAACAAUGACUUCAAAUGAACAAACUAGAAAACAAACAAAACAAAACAAAUAUAAACAACAAAAAGGGAAAGAACUAAUUUCAUAAAUUAAAACUUUUUUUUAUUAAAUUUUGGUCAAAAGAAAACUAAUUAAAGAAGGGUAGAAGAAAGAGAAAGAGAAUAGAAAAUGAAACAUAGAAUGGGUGGAAGGAAAAACAAAAGAAAAAUACCUAAAUCGAUCUGGUGAAACUCUGGCUACUUCGAUUUGAACCCAAAAUUGAUGUCAACCAUGUGUUCUUGUCAAGAACAAGCGGUAAACGUCAGUUUCGUGCACAAUCGAUCCCUUAGCUUUGCAUGCCCUAGAUCCGAAGUCGGGGGAGAAUUUGGGGCUUCAGGGUUUCGGCCUUAGAUUGAAGAUUCGAAUAAAUGGAGAGGGAUUCGAGGGAAGUUACUUCAGGAUUUAGGAAGAUGAGGGGCUGGGGGUUAUAUGGUGUAAUUUUGAGGCGGAUUAGAGGUGGUGCCGCCACCGGAGGGAGUGAGGAUUUGAGGGCGGCGUUCUGGGGUUCUUCAUUUGUCUCUGAAUGUAGAGAUGAAUGAGAGAGAUGGAAGGGGGGAGGGGAUAAGGCCAUUCAGACAGUUUUAUAUUGUCGACCCAAUCAGUUCCCGACCGUCUGAUGAAGUGAGAUCGACGUCUCAGAUUAGAGGAUUGAAAAACGGGGUCGUUUGGAUUAGGCUGGGGUUUGGACCGGGUUAGGGGGCGAUUUGGGCCUGGAGUUCGAGCGGAUUUGGGGAUUGGGCUGGCUGAAAUGACCCACAAAUCAGCCCUUUUGAUUUUUCUUUUUUCAAAAUAAUUUAAAUCCUAAAUUAACUCUUAAACUAAAUUUAUUCACCAAAUUAAGCUAAUUACUAGUCAUAGUAUUUACAAAAAUUAAAUAAUUCCUAAAUUAAAAGAAAAACUAUAAAAUUUAAAAUUAAAAAGUUAAAAUGCAAAAUGAUUUUUUUUUUGUGAUUUUUCAUUCUUAUAGAACAACUAAUUUAUUAAUUAACCUUAAAAAUAUAAAAAUAAAUCCUAAAUGCAAAUUCAUUGUAUUUUCAUAUUUUCAUGAAUUAAAAAGAAUUAAGCAUACACAUAAGAAAUGCAAAUAAUUAAGAAAAUUCUACAAUAAUUCCUAAAAUGACGAACAAUUAAAAGAAAAAUCUAAUUCUUUGGAAUUCUAUAGGAGUAAUUCAUGUGAGGUAAAAAUUACGUGCUCACAAUCUCCACUCAAAAUAUGUGUAUUCUGUGAUAAAACACUAGGCUUUCUGCUGCUCAACUUUCACUUGUUGACAAUUCGGACAAUUAGCUACAAAGUCUGCGAUGUUCUUUUUCAUGUCGUUCAACCAAUAAAUCUCCUUGGGAUCAUUUUACAUCUUUGGGGGACCUUGGUGGGUUGAAUACCUGGAAUUAUGGGCUUCUAAUAUGAUCCUCCUCUCUAAGUCUACCUAUGUCUCGAACACACAGUCCAUCUCGGUACCUCAAAGUAUCAUCAUCUCCCCCUUAUUCAACAGCUGUCAAUUUAUGCAUGUAGAAUCCCCUCUUUCAGCUACAACAAGUAGGGAUCAUCAAACUAUUUCUCCUUCACUUCGACUACUAAGGGGGAACAAGUCAUAUUCUAGACAACAACUCUACUAUCUUUGGAGUACGCAAAUUGAACUCCUAGCUAGGCUAAGCAGUGAACUUCUUUCACCAGAGUUCUCUUAUCUACCUCAAUCAUGAGUUAUACUUCCCACACUUGAUUAUCUUCUUAAGACUUCCUAAAAACACUUAUAGAAUUAUUGUGAACUAAGUCUUUGACAUGUACUCUCAAUUUUAGAGUCCCGUGCAAUAGCACUACCCUCGUGACACAUAAAUAGGCAUGAUUUUAUAGCUUUUCUGUGAUCACUUUGUCAUCAAUAACUAAGCUCAGUGAUCAUUCUACUCACUUUGUGUUUCUUACACAUGUUAGACAUAAUCCCUAUGGUAAUUAUACAAUCUUCCCUCAUUACCGAACUGCUUUUCUUUUUCAUAUCUCAUGCUACGGGUUUCAAAUCUCUAACUGGACUUACUGAAAAUUUUCACAUCAUCCCUUAGACCAAAGGUCUUAUACUUGUGGAUCCUUCUCUUUUUGUUGGAAUCCAAAUAACUUUCUUUAUCUUCUGCAACUCUCUGCACUCUACGUCAAUAACGACUUAUCUUCCAACUUACUUCUGAGAAAUCUUUCUUACUAGGAAAAACUAAAUUAUUCACUUAACGGAAAGCUAAUGUAUUAACAACUAUCAUACACAUACUCUGCUCACACUGUCAAUCUUGGGGAUAUCCUUUUUCGAUAAUUCUUAAAUGCUAUUCUUUUGUAGUUUUCUCUCUCACUGCCUAGCUGAUUUUCCCCCCACUGCCACUGUACUUUGAGUUUAACUUAAACUCUUUGGGUUCUAACACAUGUUCGGUAUUUCAAACUGUCAUCCACUCACUAUAGUUAACCUGGCUAAGUGAAUCAAAUUGUACCUCUACUAGCUCUGCUGAAAUUGCUAAUUCACUGUAUCAACUAAAAACUUACUUAUUAUUCUUUUACUAAACACCUGCUAGCAUCAUGUGUUCAUAUUCUUCUUUGAAUAACUAAAGUGAAGCAUAAGGUUAUUCUAACUUCCCUCAUCAUCUGAACCUAUUGUGAGGUCAUAUACUAUCCUUUUUUUGAACUAUGUACAUAUAUCACACUUAGGGAAAGUUCAUAUAUUUUAAACAAAAUUGGAAUAUCUAACCCCAAACUUUCUAUAUACUUUAAAAUCACUUCAGACUAUAAACCUUUGGCCUAAACACAUAUUCACAUCAUUUGAAGGGGAACUGUCAUACCUUUUAUCUCACAAUAAUAGCCACUUCUUAUAGUAACUUACUAAUGUGGUACUUCUAGUUCUGAUUUGUGUAAAUCUAAACAACUUAAAAUCAUUCCCUAAAAUUCAAUGUUGCCUGCUCUUGGUUCUCAUUUCGUACAUCAUAUCUUCUAGCCAUUUGCAUGAGUUCUAUGAAAAAUACAUCUCUAAUAAUAACAAUCGUUUUUGACUCCUAGGUAUUUUACCCUUAGGAUCUUUUCAGUCCAAACUAUAGUGACCAAUGUUAGGGUCUGACAUCUGAACUAUCAUCAUCCAACUUGUGGCUCCAUUUCCAAAAAUUAAAUGAAGUUGUUUCAUGAGGAAAAACACAUAUGAAUACACUACCAUACACAAACUUGCCCUUCUGAGUAUACCAUCAUCAGAUAAAUCACUUCAUGUACCAUCCGGUGAGUAUCGGUCUUAAUCCAGACCUAAAAUAUGCGAAGGUUUCUCUAUAAUCACUGUUACUUAUAUUUUCUUUGAGAACCCAUAUGCAUCACUAUAUACUCACAAGUCACCAGAAAUUUUGAUAUACUGAAAAUUGGAUAUUUGGUAAACAUAUAGCUGAAUACUGGCGUACUGAAUAAUCAUAUUGCUAACUGAAAGAUUGUAUAACCGAUAACUGAGGUAAACUGAUAACCAUAAGACAUGAUAACUGCUUUUGUACUUUUUGAUAAGAUUAUUCUCUAAUUUGUACUACUAUCCAUUGCAUCCCACUUUUAACAUCCUCUAAAGUCUUAUAUUUACCAACCUUAACUCCAUGAUUAUACCCCAAUGGGAAAAUAUCCUCUCUAGGACCUUACGUUUCUCCUACAUGUUGCUUGGGAAUCCAAUACAUUUGGAAUUCGAUAGGAAGAGAUGGUUACCUUUUGCUAUAAGCUUCAUGGCACGAUCUAAAGUGGAAAGAAGUGAGACAAUCCUGGAUGUCUUGGUAGUUAACCGUUUAUAUGAGUGGCCGACACACACAUAUAAAGGAAACUCCACUGGACGCGGCUUCAUAGACUUCCUAGGACUCUUGAACCUAGUGCUCUGAUACCAAGCUUUGUCACGCCCCGAACCUGGGCCUGGACGUAACACGACACUCGGUGCCUGACUACAUAUGACCGAGCGAACCAACUGGAUGGCUGAAUCAACAUGUGAUAUCAUAACAUACUGAAUGUGAAAGAUAAACUCACACUAGCUGAAUGAUAUAAAUUAAAGUACGGAAAUACUAAUACAAUUUCUAAAACGUAUUUGUAGCAAAUAUAGCUUAACAUGAAAAACUUGAGACUCUGUCUAACUAUUACUCUAGUCUAUGAAGCCUCUAUUGAAGUACUGAAAAUACUAACUAUAUGUAAAUACUGAAAGGCUAUAAAGUAAUGAUAAUACCCCGAAAGAACUGGGGAUCACCAAACAGCUGAUACGAGAGCCCUAACACUCUAAAUCGUCAACCUAUAAAUCAUUACCUGCAUUGUGAGAUGCAUGCCCCGAGCAAAAGGGACGUCAGUACAUUUGAAUUGCACUGGUUUGUAAAGCAACUAAAAGAAAGAACAAUAACUGUUGAAACUAAUACUAAGCUGAUAACUAAGAAUUGAUAAUUGAUAACUGAAAUGAUAACUAUUGAAACUGAAACUGAAAUGAUAACUGAUAGCUGAUAACUAAAAUAUUAACUGAUAACUGAAAUGAUAACUAAUAACUAAUAACUGAAAUGAUAACUGAUAACUGAACUGAACAAAGGAAGUAAGGAUAUGAAUACUCCCUCUUCUAAAUGAUGAACAACCUGUUCAUCUGAAUAAGCUACAGCCUCAGGCCCAAUAUAUAUAUGUGCACAUGCUACGGCCUCAAGCUCAAUAUAUAUAUGUGCACAUACUAUGGCCUCAGGCCCAAGUAUACGUAUACAUAAAUACGGCCUCAGGCCCAAAAAUGCAUAAAGCAUAAACUACGGCCUCAAGCCCAAACAUGCAUAAAACAUAAACUACGGCCUCAGGCCCAAGUAUGCAUAAAGCAUAUAAACUACGACCUCAGGCCCAAAUACAGGUGUUCAACAUUCAGGAACUGAGAAUCAAACUGCAAUACAUGAUAGUGAAAUACUGAGUCACAUUGAGUUACAUGAUACUGGAAUACUGGAUCACACUGAGUUAUAUAAUACUGGAAUACUGAAUAGGAUUAGAUUGAGACAUGUAUUCUUGAACUCAUUAUGAAAACUGAAACAUCAACUGUUUAUGGCAUACUUAGUAAUCUAUACUAAGAUUUGGGGGCAUCAAACCCAAGUCUAUAUUGAAUACGCACAGAGCUCACAACGUUCAGAAUGAAAGUGGUGAACGAGUUAUGAAGCUAGAGAAUAGAAGUUCUGCAACUAUUCAAGGAACUAGGCUUAACUAUAUUUCUGAAGCAAUUAGUAAUGUCAUAAAAGAAACGUAGUGUAGGGAGGAUCAUUAAAAUUCCUAAACAUAGAGAGUUAGCCUCACAUACCUUAACUUCCUGCCCUUGAGCGUAAUACAACAUUCGCCAACCCUUUCAACUUUAAUCUAUAUCAAUACAAAUCAAAGGGAUUCUAAAAUUAGCAACAAUACUCAUGUUUUGGUCACUUAGGCAUUUUAUCAAACAUUUGGUGGCAUAAAGCUUCAUAGCCCUUAUUAAUGGUGUCUCUACACCCAAUAACCCAUUCUCUUAUUCCUAGAUAAAUUCUAAAGUCUCAACUGGUUAUAAUCAAUAUUAUUCUUUAUCACCCAUAAGGUAAUCAACACCCAUAACCAAUAAUAACCAAUCAACAACCCAAACCUAUCACCGUUCAUGCUUUUCUAUCAAACCCAUCAACUCAUAUCUCAUGAACUAGAGUCUAUAAUCAUUAAUUCAAUGAUAGAAUCAAUUAGAGGGUGAAGAUAUUACCUUUUUAAUGUUCAAUCUCCUUGAAUUCGAGUUCUGGGGUUUCUUCUCUCAACAAUGUUGUCCCAAUCGAAUAUCUAAUGAUAUGGAGGGUUUACCCAUGUUAAUAAGAUGUUGGAAAAUUUAAAUUAACUUAGAAUCACCAUUAGAACUUACCUUGGAUGGUGGAGGGACCCUUAAGGAGUUAGGUUUUUUGAGAAUUUUCAUUUCUAGAGCAUGUUUUUAUGUUUUGGGGCUGUGGGGGACGAAAUAGGGCUAAAACAAUGACUUCCCAAGUUGGCCACCACGUCCUAGUAGGCGCGACCGUGGUCCCGACCGUGGUAAAUCACUGGAGCACUGCCUCACGACCGCGGUCGCGGUAAAACACGGCGGAACGCGGUGGUUAUGCACUAUUCUAUAAAAUAGGCAUAACCUUUUGCAUAGAGAUCCGUUUGGGCUACCGAAUAUAUCUUUGGAAAGCUAUUUCAAAGGGCUACGACUUUAAUUCUUUGAAUUUUCCCAAAUUCCUUACAUAUUUUCACUAAAACCUGCUGGAACACAGACCUUCUGCAAACUUAGUCGAUUUUGUCAAAUCUUAUGCACCUCACUUUUCAUCUUGAUUUUUAAACAACUAUUUUCACCCAUAAUAAUCCCGAUAGGACUUCAUAUGUCCAAAUAUAACCUUACUACUCCUUUAACUCAUUCAUACCUAAUCCGAAUGUGCGGGGUGUUACAGUGUGAUUCAAGCAUGCCUGAACAAUUGUUUUAAUCUACUGUGUGCUUACCAUUCUUAUGAGUCCCAAAUCCCUAUCCCCCUAUAUGUUUAUACUCUCACUGGUUAGUUUGUGAUUAUGCCAGUUUCAAUUAUUGCUGAGCAAGUCCAAACCAAUCCAAAUACCCUUGCUAGGGUUAUAUGUUUACAGUCAAAUGCCUGUGUAUUCCCAAGACUUUUGACCCCUGUGUGACUAUUGAACUCAUUUGGGUUCUGUGUGUGAUCCUAUCCUGAGUUCCUGAUUUUGUUUAUCAUUCCAACCUUUUCAAACAAUCUCUAUUACUUUACUAACUGCUUUGAAACAGACUUUUAAGUCUACUCCUUAAAAAAUUCUUUCAAUAUAUGUCUUGUAGUUUCACUUUACUCUUAGUUAAUAAGUUAUGCCCCCUCUAGUAUGUGUACUGCCUUGGGAUCCUCUUGAGAACCCUCUGAACUCUGGCAUACUGAGGCUGGCCUUUCCACACUACACUGGUUCAAUACUUGGCUACUAAGUCUAGGUGUAAGCAUUACCCCGGGUUCUUGAGACCCUUAGGGAACUUUGAUGCACCUAGACUCUGAUUUGUCUAUGGAAAUGAGGUUUGAAAGACCAUUGGAGGCUUUAGGAAACUUGGGCCUGAUUGCAGGCUCUCUAUAGAAUAGCUUCUUGAUUUUCUAUUUUCACUUAUGUAAUUCAUUUAUUAGCCUGUAAUAAUUUGUAAACAGAUAUUUGGGUAUUUAGUGAAAGGGUGGGUAGAUGUAUACUUUGUGGGGUAACAUGGGUAGAAAUUCUGCUCUUAGGAUUUAUUUUCAAAUCUGCCUGGUUUACUCACUAGAAAACAUGUUCAUAGGGUUUUUAUUCUUGUUGAAUCUGGUUGCUUUUGCAUAAUAGAGAAUCAUGCCUAUAGGAUUCCACUUCUAAUUUUCUCUACAUCAAAUAGAAAUCAUGCCUAUACGGACUUCACUUUUAAUGUCGUUUGCAUCAGAUAGAAACCAUGUUCAUAAAUUCUGCAUUUGUCAUGUUAGAAACCAUAUUUCUAGCCAUCAUGUUUUAAAUCAAUUCAAGUAUAGAUACCAUGCCUAUAAGACAUAAUUCUGAUUCAGUAAGUAUUAUAUAUCUUACUGCAAAUUGCCUAAAACCAGUAACACGCCUAGAUACCAUGCCUAUAGGAAUUUCUAUUCGUAAUUAUGUCUGAAAAUCUAAUUGGCCUAAUAAGUCAAUUUCAUUUCGCUUAGUUUACUUCUUAAACUGGCCUUAUUAAGCAACGACAUUUCCUAAACUAGUCCUUUCAAAAUUGCUUUAAUCUCGUUAGAUAUCCUGCCUAUAGGUAUUACAAGGGCCUAUUUCGAAAACCUGUUUGUUUAUGUAUAGACAAAGUACUGCAUAUAGGCAAGCCUUAGGGCAUUUUCAAAGCCUGCAUUUCUCUGAAGCUGUUUCUGUCAUUCAACAUUUCCAAUUUUAAUAAGCUUUUAAAGAAUAGGCCCUAGGCAACUAAUAGGUUAUAACUCCUGUAUAUGAAAGUGGUCUAUUUCUACAUAAUCAAUUAGAAAUAUUGCCUUAGGACUUUGAUUAACAAAGACCUUACUUGUGUCUGACUCGUGCUGCCUGUAUGUUUGUUUGAGGAGGAACUAUAAGCCUUUACUUGCUCCCAUUAAGUGAAAGUCCUAGAUGUUUUUUGACUGUCGCCUUAGAUUUUUUGCCUUUAAAACCUUAGGGGUACAUCUAUAACCACCUAUAGGUAGAGGUCCUAACUCCCUCCGGAACUAUUAAGAAGGGACGGGUAGCAGCACGCAAUAGGAAUCAUUGAUCAAACACUCGCUUUGCACGACCAAUAAGGGGAUGGGAAGGGUAGACAUGGGAUAUGAUGACUACGUGUUAAUGUCAUGUGUAACCCCUCAUUGAGAAGUAUUUACCGAACAUUGCGUGGGGUGAUCCUAUAGGAUAAACAACCUAGGACCCCUCCUUACCCCAUAUCCUCUCCUUAUUUAAAACUUUGUUUUAUAUAAUUUGUUCAAACCUUUAUUUCACUACUUGACUUGUUCAAUGAGCUUUACAACUUAUUUGAUUCAACUAUUUGUAUGGACUAAUUUGUAAACAUAAGUUCAGUCGGGACCCACAGUUGUGGACCAAGAGGGGUGCCUAACACCUUCCCCUCGAGGUUAUUUCGAGCCCUUAUCCUAAUCUUUAAUAAUGCAAACCAACCCAAGAUUUAAUCGCUUUAGGUGCCCUAACGCACCAUAAUCCGUUAGGUGGCUACUCUUCAAAUACCCAAUUCCCAAAAGGAAAUGAGUCAUUACACCCUAUGAAUGUCGAAACCCGGACCUCUAUCCGCGGAAGGAAAAAAGGGGGCGCGACACUUGGUAGGCUACGAGCUCUAAAUAUGCACAAGUUCUUGGAAUGCUUGGGGCAUGCAAACCUGAUCAUGGUUCAAGAGAUAUAUGCUAAUUGGGAUUACCAAUUGGACACUUCACGUGUAAGAGAGAAGGAUGUGCCGAUGGAUAGAGAGACUUUAUGUGACUAUUUGGGGGUUGAGAAUGCUAACCCAAGGAGACUCCAAUGAUUUAUCAAAAGCCCGCAAUAUGAGUUGAUAAGUCACACUCUUUGUCGCGUGGAUUCCAAUGCUAAGUGGAUAAAGAAGCAGGGCAACAAUCACCUUUCUAUGGUUUGCUCCGAGUUCAACAAAGCUACCAAAGUGUGGCAGAAUUUUGUGCAAGCGAGACUCAUACUGGCAGAGCACAACAACGACUGCACUCGAGCUAGAGUGUGUGUCAUCUUCUUCUUGAUGACCGGCCGACCCAUUAAUGUGGCUGCAAUUAUGCUUAGUGAGAUGGCCCACACGAGAUUUGGGCAACAAAUUAGGCGGUUCUUCUUUGGCAAUUUACUUACUCAGUAUAUGCUCUUUCGAGGAGUAUCAGAGUACCACAAAUAUGAUGAGGUGGUAGAGGCUCCGUUUGGGCUUAUGGACAUCGCAUCUCUGUAGGAAACGUCAUCAAAACUCACUUCUGUAGCACGAUUUGAAUGAGAUGAGAACUUCAAUAGGUACCUUUAUAACUCAUUGAACUUACUCAUGAGCAGAGCAUGUAUUUCAGAUGAGGAGCGUAUGCAUUUACACAAUGACUUGUCCAACACGUCCAAGGAGAUGUUGGGGAUUGCACCUGGAAGCCCCGUUCACUCAUCGAAGGACGUCAACUCUGUCAAGGGCUCAAACACUGAGGACGAGGAUGGGGGUGAUGCUACGGGCCCCAUGACUUUGGUGCCUCUAGGACCGGAUGAUGAUGAGCCCAGAACUGCUGGUGGAGGGCAUGCUACGGAGGUGGACUCCGCCUGACAGGGAGUUUUCUUUUCACCCUACUCUAUGUUAUAUUUUUUUUACUUGCAUCGAGGGCUAUGCAUAGUUUAAGUAUGGGGUGGGAGGAAUACUAACUGUGUUGUAGCUGUAUAUCUUGUAUCAACUUGUUUUAAUUUGUUUCUUUUAGUAGUUCUAGUGUAGUUAGUCUAGUGUAUUUUAGUUGCUUUAAAUACAAAAAAAAGAGUAUAAAAAUACAAAAGCAAAAAAAAAAUUGAAAAAGCUCAGACUUUUCACGACGAUGGAUUUUUUGGACAAUUUUCUUGAGGGAUAAAAGUCCGAUUUAAAAACACCAAAAAGUUUUUUUUAGAAUAGCUAGGUAGUAUUCCUUAGUUUUUCUUUGGGCACCGGUUCUUUUCCAAGGAUGUAGCUCGAACCGGUCACUUUAUUUUAUAUUUUUAGGAGUAGUUUAGGAAGAAACCGAGUCGUUUUCAAAUACUCAUUGACAUGGUUGAUGCUGACACAUUAGGCUAUGACAUACAUUCUGUUUUCUCGUAUAUUUGGUUUGAAUUGUGAAGCCUAAGUAAAGUAAAGAGCCUAUUUUGUGAUGCCUUGUCUCAGUUAUUUGACUUGUAUGCCACAUAGUGCAAUAUUGCUUAAUUUUCUCAAUUAUGUGUGCUUGCUUGACUUGAGAGUUGAACAAAAUUGUUGUGAUUGAGUCAUGGGCAACAUGUGUGUGAGGAUUUGUGAUUUUCUGUGCUAUCAUGUGUAGUCUAGAACUUGCCCCGUGUGUUAAUUGAAGCGAAAUUGUAAGUUGUGCUAAUCUAGGAGAUGACGUAGGCUUUUUCUUGCUUGAUCAUGGAUGCUUGUCACAUAAAAAUAAAAUUUUCCGUUGCUAGCCCCUUUGAGCCUAUAGACCUUUCUUUUGGCACCCACAUUACAAGCCAUACCCCUAUUUUGUUCUUAAUUGGAUAUUGAUUGAACCUUUACCUCCUAAGGCACUUAGUCGCUAAAUGAAGUAAGGUGAGAUAUUGGGGAGUAGUUUUUGAGUGGAACCAUGGAAGGGCCCGUUGGUGCACUAAGAUUGAAAUUAAAAGUCACUAGCCGAUGAACUUGAAUGUAUGGAGUGUGUGAAGAAAAUAAAAAAAAGAGAAAGGAAAAGAAAAAUGGCAAGAAAAGAGAAAAAAAUAUGAUAGUUCAAAUAAAGGAGAAAAUACACACCUCCAAUUCUUAAUAAUUUGUGCUAGUGGGAGUAUAGAAGUGCUUAAUGAAAGUAAGGGCUAUCUGCAUAUGGUUUGUGGCAAGUGAAUUAGUUGAGAAGAAUAUGUGCUUGAAUUGUGAAUAUAGUGUAUUAAAGUUCUUAGGAGGGUUAGUCACUAUUUCUAAAUGUACCAUACCCGUCCCUUAGNNNNNNNNNNNNNNNNNNNNCACAGGAUGCAUAUGAACUCUUUGUGAGAGUGAGCGAAUUUUGUUCAAUUGUGCGAUGUCCUUAAUUUAUAUUCAAAAGUAUAUUUGAAUGUGUGGACUAUCUAUAUUCACUUUUUUGUUUGUUGGUAAGGGCACAUGAUCUCAUGAAUGAUUGGUGAUGUUGUAAACUUUCUUGUUGGGUAAGUGCAUGAGUUGAGAGUGCUUAGUGGUUGCAAGUCAGCUUUUGAGGUUGGGUGAUGACAAAUAGGUUGUUGAAAUUGAUUGAAUUGAAGGGUUAUACUUGUGCAUGCUUAAACAGGAAGAAUGUGAAAUUUUGUGUGUUCAUGCUUGUGUGCUGGUAUUGAUCAUAGUCAAGGGUGUAGUGUGUGGUUAAAAGUUAAGGUGAUCCUCUAUAAUUGAGACUUGCAUGUUGUUGGGGGUUUAUUAGAUAGUCCCAUUGCUCGAGGAUGAGCAAGAGUCUAAGUGUGGAGUGUUGAUGUUUAGCUUAAAGCAUAUAUAUUUCUAUGUAUAUCGCCUCAUAUUUUACUUUUGUUUCAUAAAUUUGGGAUGUUAAACGCUAUUAUUUAUAUUAAUUUGAAGUGUUUCCAUGUGUAGGAAUGAUUCGGAAGCAAUUGGGGGAGAAACGUGCAAAAUUAGAGCCAAAACGAAUAAAACCAAAAAAAUUGGGCAUUUGGGCACCACAAACAGCGCUCGGCGCCACCUGUGGCGCUGGAAACAGAAGCUGAAUUUUGGGCAGUGCCCUGGUGGGCGCCUGGCACUGUCCAGGCGCCGUUGACGUGAAUUUUGUCCUAUUUUGCCCGGGACACGGUUUAUUCGGCACUAGAUCUACCCAACAUGUAUAAAAGAAAGACUAAGCCUAUUUUUGAAGGGGGGGCUCGCCACUUCGGAGAAAAAAUACACGCGAGAAACAUCCGGGAGCAAGAAUAUCUAAGAUUUCUGUAUCUUUUCUAGUAUUUUCAAUUAUUCAAAACUUAUACAAUUGUUUUCUAGUAUCAUGAGUGGCUAAAAACCCAUUGUUCUGGGGUUGUGAUUUUGCCAUGAAUAUUGUUGUUUAACGUUGACUUAACCUCGAUUAUAAUUCACUAAUAUAUGUUUGUUUCUUCAAUUUUAUGAUUAAUUGCUUAAUUGUCUGGCCAGCAGUUAGGUUCUAUUUACUAUCUAUGCUAUGCUUGGAAAGACGUGUUUAGAUUAGAGAAGAAUUGAAGAGAGCAUGAUCUUAAUCCUUAGGGGGGGGGGUGGAUUUGUGGUUAGUAUAGGAAUAUACCUAGUCACCGUGCUUAAUUAAAUAUCGUAAUCUUAAUGCGUUCUUAAUAGAUUGGUUCCAUAGGAAUAUAGGCGUUAAUCUUUUUUGAAUAGGCGAGUAGUACUUCGGGAAAAGGCUAUGAGAGAAAUUAUCGAUUAAUUAGCAACCAUGAGUGAAUUGUAUGAGAGGGAGAGUUAACUAGAACAUAAUAGGAUUGGUGAAUCGAUCACAACCCUAGAAUAUUUUUCUCUAUUGAAUACAUAAGAAUCAUUCUACUGCUUGAUAAUUUAGUUAUUACUUAGAAUUAUAGUUUAGUAUAAUUAAACUCUUGAACUUGAAUUUAGCUUGACUAAAUAACAAUAUUGGUGAGUUAGUGAGUAGUUGAUAUAAGUCUCUGUGGGUUCGACACUCGACUUAUCAUUUUAUUACUUGUACGACCACAUAUACUUGCGUGUGCAUUUGAGAGCAACAAUCGUGCCAAGCUUUCAAUCUGCUUCCUUGAGGUAUAUGCCCCUUGAUCGAGGCGAACCCUGCAAUACUAUUGAGUAGCGAGAGAGGUCGAAGCAGCUUUUACCCGAUUAAGGUCGGGAUCGAUUUCCAUAGGGAGCUAGAUAUUGGAGUCGGGUGUCUAUCUAAGGUGGAGUUGUGUAUUUGCUCCAGAUUGCACCUCUACACAUUUUUGGUUUUGAUUAUGAUUCUAAUUUUAUAAAACUACAAUGCUCAAUUAAACUAAAAUAAGCUAAGGUUAAACUAUUACAAGUUGUUCAAAUUAUUAAAAAGGCACUAGGGUAGUGACUUUCGCCUAGGUGGUCAAUUAACGGAUUCUUGAGUCUAAAGCUAGAUUGUCACAUUUGGGGGGUAUGAUAUAACUAUUACAUGAUUCUACUCACUCUAUACCUCUCGGUAGUUCGAGUGAUUUUGCCUGAAUUGACUUUCUCAAGACCAAUUGGGUAUGCAAAUUUGCAUAGACAAUCAAGGUUCAAGUCGGGUAUUACUAUCUCUAGGUUUAACCCUUUAAUUGGGGCUAUCAAUCUCUUGAGUACGCCCCAAUUCCUUGUUGGACCAAUUUCAAAGACUUAAGGCUCUCUUUCUCAAGAAGAGCCAAAGUCAACUAAACACAAACUAGUGUUUGCAACCACUAAUUCAACAAUUAAACAUGAAAUUAGUCCAAAUAUCAAACAUUGAGCUUGUUUUGGUACUUGUGCAAGUUUCACUCCCUUUUGAGCUGGUUUUUAAACCUUGUCACCUUGUUGAUCAAACCUAUAAUCAAGCACAACUUGUGAUCCUUUGGGACUAUUUUGUACACAUUUCUAAUCAAAACUUGAGCAUGAAGGAGUGUAAAAUGCAUUAUAAUUCCUAGUUAUCACCGCUCAGUCGGGUCCGACCCCUACUUCGAGUCGCCCGAACUCGGACUCAUAGCCCAAUUUAAGACUUCAAAAUCAGGCUCCUUGAUUUUGACCGUAUACAAAUAGUCCCCACUUUUCUUAGAAUAAGAUGAUAAGAAACUAUUUGAACCUCGAUCUUCCUGAGCAUCUCGUGAUGACAUCAUGCUCGUGACGUAGGUGCUUGAAGUUAUCGAAAAUGCCAUGUCAACAUGCUUUCCCAAAACAUCAAAUACGUUUCAGCUUUUGUCGGCCACUUGUGUCGCUGAUUCCGUUGUCGGCUUUCUAUAAAUAAGGGGUUACUUGGCUGAACAAAAUCUACACUCAUUCCUUCUUCAUCUACUUUUAGCCCUUUCCCUGCUUUACCUCUUCCUCUAAUCACCUAUUUCUAUAGUUCAAAUCUGUGACCACAAGGUCACAUGGAAAUAAUUUUACCAGCUAUGACAAGGCUUCCUUUUUCAAAUCUUUGGAUCGACACAAUGAGAGAAGGGCACCGAAUCCUUCUCGUAUCAGAAGAUAUGCGAACUUUACACUACUGCUCAUCUAUCUUAACUUCAACCUGGUGUGACACAUUAUUCCUUUUGCUUUCCAUGGAAUAAGGUGGCACUAUCAUUGAUGACGUCUAAAUCCACUACUAAAAAGUAAUGGACACAGUCGCAUGCAACAUAAUUUAGCCAACUAAGAGUCGGGGUCGAAUCCCACAGAGAACAAUAUGUAGGCGAUUAGGAAUGUAAGAGAAUUAUCACUUGUUAUGCAAUGCCAAACACUUAGAAUUAAUUUGAGAAAAUAUUUAUACCUAAAUGCGGAAAUGUAAACUAACCUAUAAAGCAAUUAAAAUGAUCAAUGGCUACAAGGAUGAAUGCAUCGGGAAUUACACUCAAGUAACUAUCCAAUGUAUUUCAUGAUUUUACAAAUAUGAGCGAGUUAUGUUAAUUAGACACGGGCAAUAAUUCUAUAUUAGCUUCUUCCGAAGACUAACAAGACUUCCUAAUUGAGUUAUCCCUAAAAUAAUUAAGAGAAUAAACACACCCGGAUAUGACUACAAGUAGUUCAAUCCUAUCCCUAGGUAGAAUCUAUAAAAUGAGGGUUAACGUCUCAAGUUCUUGUUAAUUAAUCAUUCCUAACCCCAAAUUAUCUUUUCCAAAAUUAAUUCGGAGUUAGUGGGUGAGUCCUAAGGUUAUCUAAUCCCUUUGGAAACAUUAAAGAACAAGAAUAAUUAAAGAAACAAUAACUCACUUCAUAAAUAAAUAAAAAUCAUUCAAUACAUAAGCACAACAAGGUAUUUAAUCCACACUUUAACUAUGAAUAUUUUCAUAAACAAGAUUCAAGUGUUGAAUAAAAUACUACACACUUAGAUAUACAAUACAAAGCAAGGAAAUGAAGAAAUAAACAUAAAUGGGUAAGAAAUCCUUAACCACAAGCUUGAAAUCUUCAAGACCAAAGUGUGUGUGCAAACCCUAGCUUCCAAAACUUGUUCUCUCUAGUCUCUUGGAACUGAAAAUAAGCCAAAGAUAUUUUACAAAUGAGCUAAGUCGGGUAUUAAAUGGUUUGGGGUCAAAAAAUGUGAAAUUCCAGAAUUGCCCAGGUCUAAUGCUCGAUUUUCGCAUUUGCGAACAAAGGUUUGCAAUUGCGAAGUAUGGCUAUACUGUGCACUUUCGCAUUUGCAAAGAGGACUUCGCAUUUGCGAAAUCUUUUUUGCAUUUGCGAUGACUACUUAGAUCCUCUUUCUUCGCAAUUCCCAUGCUUUCCUCGCAAUACCUAAGACUGUAAUCUUCGCAAUUCCCAUGCUUUUGUCGCAAUUGCGACCACUGAGGGCAUUGCCUAGAGUUUCCUCUUUUUAGCUUCUUUUUGACUUAUUUCACUUGGUUUCUUCAACAUCACUUCUAAAUCACAUAGAACCUGUAAUAUAGAAGUAAAUGGCAUUAAAUACGUGAUUUUAUCACAUCAAUCAUAGCAAAAAUAUAGGCUUAAAGACAAGAUAAGUUGGUAAAAUACCAACUUAUCAAUCAUCUACUAACUUUUGCAUCCCACACUGGAAUAGAGUUCCGAGGAUGAACACUCUUAGAUUGUUGCUUGUGCAUAUUGCAACCCUUUUGGUUUGUUCCUUUUGCUUGUUCUUUCUAAAUAUAUUAUGGCCCAAAAUUUCAACGGAAUGGUUAAUCUCGGCUACCAGAUGGUGCCCCCGAGAAGAGGACCAUCUGCCAGACGUUUCUAAAAAUCAAAAAUGGUGCCCCCGAGAAGAGGAUUUCUGGAGACACUGCUCUCGAGGUCGUGGCCUUAAAAGUAAAUUAGGAUCUUUGACUUUUGUUUUUUGCUUCUUUGUAAGUAUCCUUCGUGGGUGCCAUAGUUAUACUUUGUAAUCAUUUCUUGGAAGUAUAAAAGGCCCCUUUUGUAUCCCUUUCGGCCCAUGCUGAAUUUUAUUCCAUCUUUAUUCGUAAAAGACUCGAUUUUAUGAUUUCAAGGACUAUCCUAAAUAUUGAGCUUAGGACAUAAUAAACCAUUGGGUUUUUAAUUGAUCAAUACAAUGCACCUCGAGGUUUUUGUUAAUCCUCGAGCAGAGCUUGAAUGUGAACUCGGAACAUCGGGAUUCUCGAGCCUGAGUUAGGUGAGAGCAAGAUCUCGAGAUGAAGUAAAUCCUUCGAUUUCCUUGUAGCCCCCGGGUGGGAAACUUCUCCACCUCGGGUAGCCCUUAGGCUUUUAAAGUUGAGUGGGCAUUUGCUCGAACUUGUAAUAAGGAUAGCCCUUAGGCCUUUUCAUAGUCUUCGAGUGAGUGAUUCCUCAAACUCGGAUAGCCCUUGGGCUAAGUGAUCGAAUAUAUACCCUGCUCGAACAUGACUUAUUGGCUGUCCUUUAUGAUUUUUGAAAAAUUAAUCCUUGAUGCCUUGGUCCUGACGCAAAUAUCGUAACGUCAGCGGUUGAAGCAACUGAAAAGUUUCUUUUUGUAUGAUUUACAAAAUCAUUAAUUAGAGGUGGCUGAAGGUUGGCCUUUUGACUUCCUCAGCAUGCUUAAAUGACCUUUAUAAAUAGACAGAUUCCACAACCUUACAAACUUUAUUCCCAUAUUGUUUUCAAAGUCCCAUUACCCUUUUUUCAAUCUCCUUGAGCUCUCCUUCUCUUCACUAUCAACACUUUUCAUUUUCUUGGAUCUUCCGUAUUGCGAUGGCUAAAACCUAUAAACUGGUUUCCCAAAAGGAAAAAGCUUCAUCAUCUUCCCGAUCGACCAAGGGUAAACCAACAAUGCCCUCUCAUAUUGAGAAGUGCAUUCCCCUGCCAUGUGAAAUAACAUUCGAUUUCAAAAUCGAGAAACCUGUAUCGACACCAGACCGAUGUGAGCCCAUGUCUCGAUAUGUUUGUUUGGUGACCAAGGCUGAGCUUAGGCAGGUAAAGGAGGAUUGCAAGUGGGAUAACAAAGAAAUAAUGAUUCCCUCAUCCGAAGAGGACAUCACUACAUAUAAAGUGGGGUACUUGAGCGUAUCUACCUACCCUUUUACAUUGGGUCCUGCAAUUCUGACUCAGGGUCCUAUAGAUCCAGCCAUUCUUGAAUUUUGCCAAUGAUACCGAGUGACGCUCGUCCAGAUCUAUCCCUCUUUCUGACAAAUUAUUUACUUAAUCAGGUUCUUUUCGAGCCAAAUCGAGGGGAUGUCUUUUACCCUCGAUCAUCUAAUCAGACUGUACAGUCCAAGGACUUUAUCGUGGGGGAUUGAUAAAAUUGCAACGCUGAUCCUUAAAAUCUCUCUUUUCUAGUAUCGACGAGGACAAACACCGUGGGUGGAUGAGCUAGUUUGUCCGAGUCAAGACCUCCAAUCUAAUCCCUACUGAUUGGAUGCCGUUCCUCGAGGAGUGGAAUAUGAAACGUGAGUACGCAACAGGUUUAUACCCUAAUUUCUUAUCUUUUCCCUGGCUUUAUAUUUUUAAUUAGUCUAACCCUUUUACGAUGGUGCAGUUGCUGCUUUGUUUCCUGGUAGGGUCCUGGACCUCGAGGGAUGGGUCCGAAAGCUGGCGAGAUCUGGCCAAGUGUCGAUGGGAGGUAAAAACCCAUUGUGAGCUCUUUUGUUUGUUUUCCUAUGCUUCUGUUACGGGAUACUGACCUCGGUUUCAUGUAGGUCUUGGAGACGCCGUUGAUUUGCAGCCAGCCCCAGCUGAUGAAGUGGAGGUAGCCUUCCAAAGAAAGAAAAAGAAGAAAAGAGUCAUCUGAAAAUCCCCCGAAGCCCAAGAAGAGCGUGGCUCGAAGGCCUAAGGCUGAUAUAACGGCCUUAUCUCCGAAAACAGGCCAACGUCUUCGGGAUUAGGAGGAAGAAGAAAAUGAUGACUGCCUGCUGGUAACCUGCGAAAAAAAGAAAAAAUGUCUGCUUUGAAGCCCAUCGAGCCGGUGGCGGUUGAUGUGGCUCAAUCCAGAGCCGAAGAAAUUUCCGAGGGGAGUUCAAACAAAGUCCCCGAACCAUCAUCCAGAAAGAAGGUACCUCACCUAGGAGAUCAUUUGAAGGGUGAGGCCGAAUGACCUGACCCCGAGCCUAUUCAGAUAAGAGAAAAUGCCCCAAAUGGAUCACUUGGGGUGAUCAACGUGGAUGAUUUGCCUCCUGGCCACGAUUUCUCCGAGGAACAAAUCCGAGAUGCCCAUAGUAUGAGGUCUUUUAAAGUGGAAGCUGUCACGACGCAAACCGAUGGGCCGCGAUGGGCACCUGGUACCUUACUCGACCGAGUACCAACAUAACGUAUCUUUCUUAUUACAUCAUCAUAUACAUGUGACAUACGGGCCUAAUAGGCCAAGAUGAUCCUUUAUAAACCCAAAAUAUAGGCCGACAAGGCCGUACAAUCUUUUACGUACACGACAUAUGUCUACAAGCCUCUAACAAUACAUAAAUGCCUAAAGGUCGGGACAGAGUCCCGCCAUACCAAACAAUACACGUCUAAAUCAUACUAACCAAAUGAGCAACUCCGAAGCAAAUGGAGCGCACCAACAUCUUUCGUUGAGAUAAUAGCCUACUUGGUGGGCUCUCGACCUGUCUAUCAGGACCUGCGGGCAUGAAACGCAGUGUCCCCAGGCAAAAGGGACGUCAGUACGAAUAAUGUACCAAGUAUGUAAGACACGUAAAUAAAUACAUAAGAGACAUGGAAGCCAUAUGGAGUACAUGACUCAACAUGUAAGUCUGAAUAACUUUGUAAAUCAUAAAUUACUUUCAACGUCAUGCAUAUGCGUAUGAAUGUCAUGUCGUGCAUAGGUACAUGUUUCAUAACAUCAUCAGCCUCUGAGGGCCUUCCAUUAUAUCAUACCGGCACUGUGGGCAAAAUCAUCAUCGUAUACCAGCUGAUCAGGUGAUGGUGCGUAUAUAACGCCAUAACCUUUCCCAUAUCCCAUAUACAUAUAUUUACAUAUAUACGCGUAUAUAACGCCGUUUGAGUACAUACAUAUAUAUGCGUAUAUAAUGUCGUUUGAAUCAUAUUUCAGCCACUGUGAGCAUCAUCAUCAUCAUAUACUAGCUGAUCAGGUGGUGAUGCGUCUAUAACGCCGUAACCUUUUCCCAUAUCCCAUAUACAUAUAUUUACAUAUAUACACGUAUAUAACGCCAUCUGGUUAUGGGUCAGUGCAUAUGAAUGCAGUGCAUAAAAAGUACGUCAAUAGAAUCAUUCGGAAUGUUAUAAGACCAUUUUGCCUCUGAGUAAUAUCAUAAAGUAAACUUUUUUCAACUUUCGUAUUUUUCUGAGACCCAUGAACAGAUGAUAAGACAUUAUAACACACGGAAAUUCAAGAACACAGAUAUCUCUAAUACUUCUAUGAAUAGAGUCAUUCAUGAAAUUUGUGCAUUUGCACGUUCUGUUCGUAUCGUAUGGAUCAUGCCAAAAGAAAGAAGGGAUAGCCUCAACAUACCUGAACCGAUUCUCUUGACAAUCCCUUUAACACCUGUUGAUUGCGACAACACGAAACGGGGAUCG
RNAcentral lists this long non-coding RNA (21507 nucleotides) under Nicotiana tabacum (common tobacco). Its description in RNAcentral is "long non-coding RNA (NTAB_LNC005919)". Lineage: Eukaryota; Viridiplantae; Streptophyta; Magnoliopsida; Solanales; Solanaceae. The record is from RNAcentral.